UACAUAGGGUGCAAACGUUGCUCGGAAUUACUGGGCGUAAAGCGCACGUAGGCGGUCCGAUAAGUCGGAUGUGAAAUCCCCAGGCUCAACUUAGGAAGUGCAUUCGAAACUGUCAAUCUUGAAUAUGGAAGAGGGUCGCGGAAUUCCCGGUGUAGAGGUGAAAUUCGUAGAUAUCGGGAGGAACACCAGUAACGAAGGCGGCGACCUGGGCCAAUAUUGACGCUGAAGUGCGAAAGCGUGAAAAGCAAACAGG
This 253-nucleotide ribosomal RNA is filed under the name uncultured bacterium. Its description in RNAcentral is "partial 16S ribosomal RNA". It matches the Rfam family "Bacterial small subunit ribosomal RNA", at positions 524 to 776 of the family's 1533-position model. The record is from RNAcentral.